CAUACGGGGUGCUGCAUGGCUGUCGUCAGCUCGUGCCGUGAGGUGUUAGGUUAAGUCCUGCAACGAGCGCAACCCCUGUUUCCAGUUGCCAUCAAGUAAAGUUGGGGGACUCUGGAGAGACUGCCUGCGCAAGCAGAGAGGAAGGUGGGGAUGACGUCAAGUCAGCACGGCCCUUACGUCCAGGGCUACACACGUGCUACAAUGGCCGGUACAGAGGGCAGCGACCUGGUGACAGGUAGCGAAUCUCCAAAGCCGGUCUCAGUUCGGAUCGGAGUCUGCAACUCGACUCCGUGAAGCUGGAUUCGCUAGUAAUCGGAUAUCAGCAAUGAUCCGGUGAAUACGUUCCCGGGCCUU
Molecule: ribosomal RNA, 354 nt
Filed under: uncultured Bacteroidales bacterium
Lineage: Bacteria; Pseudomonadati; Bacteroidota; Bacteroidia; Bacteroidales
Description: bacterial SSU rRNA
Rfam family: Bacterial small subunit ribosomal RNA
Source: RNAcentral